This 76-nucleotide transfer RNA is filed under the name Candidatus Omnitrophota bacterium. RNAcentral's name for it is "tRNA-Val". It matches the Rfam family "tRNA". Rfam says of the family: Transfer RNA (tRNA) molecules are approximately 80 nucleotides in length. Their secondary structure includes four short double-helical elements and three loops (D, anti-codon, and T loops). The record is from RNAcentral. Lineage: Bacteria; Pseudomonadati; Candidatus Omnitrophota.
GGGCGGUUAGCUCAGUUGGUAGAGCUCUUGACUUACAUUCAAGAGGUCGUUGGUUCAAGUCCAGCACCGCCCACCA